GAACCGGACAAACGUUAUUCGGAAUUAUUGGGCUUAAAGGGUGCGUAGGCGGCGCGGUAAGUGAGGUGUGAAAGCCCACGACUCAAUCGUGGAAUUGCGCUUCAUACUGCCGUGCUAGAGGGAGACAGAGGUAAGCGGAACUGAUGGUGGAGCGGUGAAAUGCGUUGAUAUUAUCAGGAACACCGGUGGCGAAGGCGGCUUACUGGGUCUCUUCUGACGCUGAGGCACGAAAGCUAGGGGUAGCGAACGGGAUUAGAUACCCCGGUAGUCCUAGCUGUAAACGAUGAGCACUUGUUGGGGAUCCUCCCCAUAGAUUCCCGACCGCAGCGAAAGUGUUAAGUGCUCCGCCUGGGAGUAUGGUCGCAAGGCUGA
Molecule: ribosomal RNA, 372 nt
Filed under: uncultured organism
Description: partial 16S ribosomal RNA
Rfam family: Bacterial small subunit ribosomal RNA
Source: RNAcentral